Molecule: non-coding RNA, 7969 nt
Organism: Macaca mulatta (Rhesus monkey)
Lineage: Eukaryota; Metazoa; Chordata; Mammalia; Primates; Cercopithecidae
Source: RefSeq, a predicted model, not a curated record
UGAGGCCUGUAGGUGCCCGCAUCCUCCAGAUCCCCCCCGCAGCCGACUCCGCAGUGGUCCGCUCCGGUUGCCUGGUGCAGAUUUGCGUUCCAAACGGAAGGCUGCGGAUUCUCUGCCUGUUAUUGUGGCCCCGACAGGCUAUGGUUACUUUGGCCACCGCCAGAGCAGCCUUGGCACUAUGGAGGAGCCCGGGGCUACCCCUCAGCCUUACUGGGGGCUGCUCCUGGAGGAGCCACGCAGGGUUGUGGCAGCACUGCCUGAAGGCAGGAGACCAGAUUCAACUCCUUAUGGUUUUCCAUGGGAAUUGGUGAUAUGUGCAGCUGUCGUUGGAUUUUUUGCUGUUCCCUUUUUCUUGUGGAGAAGUUUUAGAUCGGUUAGGAGUCGGCUUUAUGCGGGAAGAGAGAAAAACCUUGCUGACGCGCUUUCUGGACUAAUUGAAGAAAAAUGUAGAUUACUUGAAAAGUUUAGCCUUGUUCAAAAAGAGUAUGAAGCCUAUGAAGUAGAGUCAUCUUUAGAGGAUGCCAGCUCUGAGAAGGAGGCAACAGAAGAACAAAAUUUGGAGGCAACCUGUGAAAAGCUGAACAGGUCCAAUUCUGAACUUGAGCAAGAAAUACUCUGUCUAGAAAAAGAGUUAAAAGAAGAGAAAUCUAAACAUUCUGAACAAGAUGAAUUGAUGGCGGAUAUUUCCAAAAGGAUACAGUCUCUAGAAGAUGAGUCAAAAUUCCUCAAAUCCCAAGUAGCUGAAGCCAAAAUGACCUUGAAGAGAUUUCAAAUGAAUGAAGAACGACUGAAGAUAGCAAUACAAGAUGCUUUGAAUGAAAAUUGUCAACUUCAGGAAAGCCAGAAACAGCUUUUGCAAGAAGCUGAAGUAUGGAAAGAACAAGUGAGUGAACUUAAUAAACAGAAAAUAACAUUUGAAGACUCCAAAGUACAUGCAGAACAAGUUCUAAAUGAUAAAGAAAAUCACAUCGAGACUCUAACUGAACACUUGCUACAGAUCAAAGAUUGGGCUGCUAUGCUGGAAGAAGACAUAACAGAUGAUGGUAACUUGGAAUUCGAAAUGAACAGUGAAUCAGAAGAUGGUGCUUACUUAGAUAAUCCUCCGAAAGGAGCUUUGAAGAAACUGAUUCAUGCAGCUAAGUUAAAUACUUCGUUAACAACCUUAGAAGGAGAAAGAAACCAAAUUUAUAUUCAGUUAUCUGAAGUUGAUGAAACCAAGAAGGAGCUCAGAGGGCAUAUUAAAAACCUUCAGACGGAACAAGCAUCUUUGCAGUCGGAAAACACACACUUUGAAAGUGAGAAUCAGAAACUUCAAGAGAAAGUUAAAGUAAUGACUGAAUAUACGUCAAGAAAAUGCAAUGAAACUCUACAGGAAAUUAAUAGUAGAGGAAAAUAACCAGUCAGAGAAUGAGAAACUUUCUAAAGUAGACGAAACGAUCAGCCAUAGCAGUGGAGAGCUGGAGACCUGCAGAAAGCGAGCCAAAGAUCUGGAAGAACAAUUUGAGAGAGUUCUUCAUUUUUAUCAAGGGAAGAUUAUUUCCUAUAAGAAAAAAGUAGAUGGUAAUUGUUUUGCAGCUUGGAUUGCUGAAAGAAACCUCAAUGAUUUAAGGAAAGAAAAUGCUCACAACAGACAAAAAUUAGCUGAAACAGAGUUUAAAAUGAAACUUUUAGAAAAAGAUCCUUAUGCACUUGAUGUUCCAAAUACAGCAUUUGGCAGACAGCAUUCCUCAUAUGGUCCCUCUCCACUGGGUCGGCCUUCAUCUGAAAUGAGAGCUUUUCUCUAUCCUCCAGCUUUGUCGGAGGGUCCACGGAGACUCUCACCUUCGCUUCCAGUGGGAGGAGGAAGAGGCCCAAGAGGCCCAGGGAAUCCUCUGGACCAUCAGAUUACCAAUGAAAGAGGAGAAUCAAGCUGUGAGAGGUUAACCAGUCCUCAUAGGGCUCCUUCUGACACUGGGUGCCUGUCGCCUCCGUGGGAACAGGACCGUAGGAUGAUGUUUCCUCCACCAGGACAAUCAUAUCCUGAUUCAGCUCUUCCUCCACAAAGGCAAGACACAUUUUAUUCUAAUUCUGCUAGACGCUCUGGACCAGCAGAACUCGGAAGUUUUAAUAUGCCUUCUUCGGAUAAAAUGGAUGGGUCAAUGCCUUCAGAAAGGGAAUCCAGUAGAAAUGAUACCAAAGAUAAUCUUGGUAAUUUAAAUGUGCCUGAUUCAUCUCUCCCCGCUGAAAAUGAAGCAACUGGCCCGGGCUUUGUUCCUCCAGCUCUCGCUCCAAUCAGAGGUCCAUUGUUGCCAGUGGAUAUGAGGGGCCCAUUCAUGAGAAGAGGACCUCCUUUCCCUCCACCUCCUCCAGGAACCAUGUUUGAAGCUUCUCCAGAUUAUUUUCCACCAAGGGAUGUCCCAGGUCCACCACGUGCUCCAUUUGCAAUGAGAAAUGUCUAUCCACCGAGGGGUUUUCCUCCUUACCUUCCCCCAAGACCUGGAUUUUGCCCCCCCACCCCCACAUUCUGAAGAUAGAGCAAGUUCCCUUCAGGGUUGAGUCUGCCUUCAAAUGAGCCUGCUACUGAAAAUCCAGAACCACGGCAAGAAAACUGACAAUAUUUUUGCUCUCUUCAAAAGUCAUUUUGACUGUUCUCAUUUUCAGUUGAAGUAACUGCUGUUACUUCAAUGAUUACACUUUGCUCAAAUUGAAACUUAAUGGAAUUAUAAUUCUCAGGAUAGUAGUUUGUAAAUAAGGAUGAUUUAAAUAUGAAUCUUAUGAGUAAAUUAUUUCCAUUUUAUUUUAUUCUAGAUAGUAUAACUAUUUUAACUUGAUUAAUCCACUAUUAUCUAAACAAUAGUGGGAGUUUUAUAUAUGUAAUCUUGCAGGUGGGGAGGUUUUAAAUUCUAAAGGCUUUGUCCUUAUUGCAAGAACUGUAUUUACUGUAGUUGUAGACAAAUGUGAAAGUAACUUUAUGCUUAAUUAAAUAAAUUUUAGUUGAUUUAAAAAUAUAUAUGGGUUGCAUUAUUCUUCAGGUAUGGAGAGACCGACAGAUCAAGAGUUGAUUGCCACUGAAAAGAUUGGUUGUUACUCACAGAUCCCAAGAGAAGGGAAAGUGCUGUGCCAUGCAGCACCAAAUAGGGAGGCACUAUGGUCAGCAAGAAGGCAGGAGUGAUGGAAAAACAUGGGCAGAGCCUUUAUGGUGGUUUCCACGGGAAGGAGUGAGUGAGGCAAAGUGAACAGGGUUAAGGUUAGCUAUUAUAGUUUGAGUAAUUUCAGCAGGCUCUGGGUAUAGGGGCUGUCCCUAGUUGUCUGAUACCUGGCCCUGGGGUGCUUGGGGCAGAGGAACAGUGGCCUAGAGUGUGUGAGUCCUGUGGAAGGCUGAUGAAGUAGGUAGCUGGGGGCAUGAGCUCUGGACUGGUUAGUUUGUGUUUGAAAAGCACGCUCAUGGGCAGGUUUACUGUCUGUAGGAAUUGGCUAACCCUGAGAGGGACAGACCUGCCAAGGUCACCAAGACCCUAGAUGUUAAAGCGUCAGAAUACAUAAAAAGACAUGGUUAAUAUGGUAUCAGAGCCUCUGUCUUCACGUGGCCUCUCAUGAAGGGCUCUAGAGUGAGCUCCCUUAAGGGAUGUCAAAGGCUGUUCAAGACAGCAGAAGCCACAAGGCCACGUAAAGCCUCAGCUUGGAAGUUACGCAACAGCACUUCUGCUGCAUCCCUUGGGUCAAAGCAAGUCACAGAUGCACCCCAGAUCCCUGCUCACGUCGAGAGGAGAGAGGAACAUUAACCGUGUGGGAGGGGAGGGUCAUUACAGUUGUUUUUGCAAACAACCUGCUACAGAAAGUGUGGCUUCAGAGCACUGCGAAGGCCUUUCUGAACAGACCAGAUCCAACAGGAAGAGCAGAAAGAAGCUGGGUUCCAGCUCGUUUGUCUUUGCUAGUGUGGAGUCAGGGUAUAGCUUCCCUUUCACUGUUGGUCCCCAGCAUCAAGGGUCAGUUGGGUGUUUGCCCGGGAGCCUGCAGGGACUGUUUGUACUUUUAGAGGAGGGUUGGCAUGGCUUUGGGUUGCUGUCUCCGAAACUGCCCCAGGGUCUGGGAUCCCGGGGAGUGCCUGCCUGGGCUGGCAGGGAGCCCAGGCCUGUUUGUAAACUGUUUGAAUGCCUCAGGGUCAGGGUCUCUCAUGGGCAUAUUAUUUUCUUAUCAGGAGUUAAAAUAACUCUAGAACUUCUCCCAUAGAAAUGCAGAUGCUUUAUUAUCAUGAAAGUACCGUUUGUAAAGCAUAUGGAAUUAGGCCAGUAACAACCAACAUUUGCUCCACACUUUAGGGCCCAUGAAGCACUUUCUCAUAUGUUCUUCCUUGUUCUUGCAGUCACCUGUGGUUAGGCCUCAUUGUCCUAGUUUUUCAUAUGAGAACACUGAAGCUCUAGCGGGGCUCAAAAUUGGCUUGGGGCCUUAGGAGUUGCCCUGGGCCCAAGGGUGGAGCUAUGGGAGCCCUACAAAGCCUGCCCCAUUUCAUGCCAUCGCUUCAGUGAAUCCCUUCUCUCCCCCAUACCUGCUCAUUCUGUGUGGCUGCACUCAUUAGAUUAUUUCACCCUUUGAAUUAGAUGCCUCAGGGAGUCCCCUGAGCGGGCUAAGUUAACCUUUGCAGGGGGUACUGACACCCCCAGGUACAGCCCAGCCCUGCAUGCUGCUUUUUGCUCCAGGGACCCCAGCCUGGUCCACUAUUUGCUGGGAGAAGAUUUCAGUCCCUCCAGAACACACAGCCUUUGAGGAGCCACAGCUCCCAGAGCCCGAGCCCCAAGUCACCACUGGGUGCAGUGCACGCUCCUCUGCUCUGCAGUGGUGGAGCUUCAUCCUGGUGAGUCAUUAGUUCUGCGUCUACAGGUGUCUCAGUGAGACGCCUACCUGUCUGCUUCACAGCCCCAGGUGAAGCCGUCAUUCUCAAUCCGGCUGGGGAAGAAAAGGCGGCAUCACAGCUGAGUUCCUCUCCAACAUAGAACCACGGGGCAUUGUCCUCAGACACACACUAAUAUGAACCCAGGCUAAUGAGGCAGAACCUCUCAAAAUAGCAUUCUGUUUCUUUGGAAACCAAGGUGUAGUUUUUUAAAUGCCACGUGGCCCUCGAUCACAUUUUGCAUUUCCUAGCACUUAUUCUACCAUUUUUACAGGGACCUGUGGCAGGCAGAGGGGCUCGGGGCAGCUUCCCUGCAGGAUUCCACUUCCUGCUUGGGUCGACCCCGCUGCUGCGAGGGAGGGCUUGCCCCUCGCCUCCCUGCUGUCUGGGUGUUUCCUUUGUGAAGGGAGGGACCUGGCCUGCUAGAAAACAUCUCAAAGCCCUGUCACAGAGGAACUCCAGCUUCCCUUAGGAUGCUCUGAAGAAGGUGCUUUCCAAAUGAGAGGGCCUCAGGAGGGCAGUGGCACCUCCCUGACUGGGUGAGUCAGGUGCGGCUCUAGCCAAGGUGAGUGGGGCCUGCUGUGUCCGAGGUGGCGAAAGCAGGCACUGAGACUGCUCCGGAAUCAUGGCUCUCUGAGGUUGUUGCUCUGAAGUCCUGCCUCUGGGCCCUCGUCCAGUGUCGUGACAGCUCUUUUCUCUGGAAGAGGACAGUCUCUCUCCCUGCACGAACUGCUUUCAGCCUGACAUUUCUUCUCCUGCUUAGGGCCGUUCUCUGUGGACUGCUUCGUGGUGUCUGCUGUUUUUCUUAGCUCAGUGCUUCUCAAUGAGGGUGCUUUUGACCUCCCACGGGGGCAUUUGGUAAUGUCCAGAGAUAUUUUACACAGUAACUACUGGAGGUGUGCUACUGGCAUCGAGUAGAGGCCAGGGAUGCUGCUAAACACCCCACAACACGCAGGACAGAUCCCCACACACCCCCACAGCAAUUCUCUAUUCCAAAAUGUAGUACUAAUUAGGUUAAGAAACCCUGCUAAUGAUGAUGUUCCCCUACCUGGUAAAUAAAAUUCAAGGUCUCAGCCUCCAGAUCAGUACAAAAUGGAUGUUUCUUGACUGAAAUGCUUGGAGCCAGAAGUGUUUUAAAUUUAGGAUUUUGGAAAAUUUUCAUUAUAUUUACUGGUUGAGCGUUCCCAACCUGAAAAUCUGAAAUCAAAAAUGCUCCAAUGAGCAUUUCCUUUGAGCAUGACCUUUGAGCAUCAUGUUGAUACUCAAAAAGUUGCAGAAUUUGGAGUAUUUCAGAUUUUUGGAUUGUUCAACCUGUACUUUUCACAGUAUCUUGAAAACGGACCGUGCUUAUCUUUCCUCUUUUGAUCUAGAGCCUCCUUUUCCACGUCCAUACCGUGAAUUCCUAUUCAAGCCCAGAGAAAAGUAUUCAUUACUGCUAUGCAUUAGCUACUGAAGGCCAGGUGAUGUUUUCCCAGAUCUAACUCCUCAUGAUCAUGAUCAUCAUCCUCAUCAACAAUUACCUUAGGGUCAUCAUAAGAAUUGCAUAUAAGCCAGUCACCAAGCAGUCGUCAGUCAUCUGCCUUUAGCCCAGUGCUACCUGAAUUCAGUUUCUGUCAUCAUGUAUUUCUUAAUUUCAAAAUAGGCAGCAGCAUUAAAUCUGGUCCAUGGGCUCAUUAACAUCAUCAUCAUCAUCAUCACCACCACCACCACCACCACCACCAUCAUUGUCAUCAUCAUUGCAAACCAGGCAACAAGCAGUCAUUAAGCUCAUGCUGAUUCUGAUGCUGAUGGUGAAUGAGAAGCAGCGCUGCAGAAAACCACCUCAUUCCUAGCGUCCCAGGGCCACAGGUGCUCUGUGUUAGGUUGAGUGUUCACUUGUCCAGUGUGAAUGUAUUUUUGUUAAGAGUUAUUGGCAUCUGAGUUUCUGGUGACCAGGUGCUUCUUUCUAAACACACACACACAAACACACACACGUGGAAGACUGUUGGAGAAACCCAAAUGGUGUCAUAGGAGGCAGGUGGGAGAAGACACUUUGGUUGCUCAACCAGGUAUGAUUCUGCCAGACAAAAGACCCUAUAGGUUCUUUUUUCUGCCCCACCACUGCCUCAUUAUGGCUAUGAUAGGUUUAUUGAAGCUAAAGCUUGGGCACUCUGGGGCAGCCUUUGCCCCACACCCACACGAAUCUUUUUCCUUUUUCAAUUGCCAUUGAAGUCUGGAAAUAGCACUCUGCCUUUUCCUCUGGCCCCAUGGAAACUGGGACUUCUGGGUGUUUAACUUAGCAUCUGACUCCAUUAGAUGCUCAGGGCUUCCUGCACUUACACCUAGAGAUUGGGAAAAGGAGUGUUCUGGGGAAAGCAGGGGGGACCAGUUUGCUGUCUAUUUGGUGGCUUUCCCUGUACAGUGGAGAGAGCAGCCAGAACCUGAAUUGACAACUGAGACAUUGUCAUCUGAUGUAGAGUCUCUCUUCCCUCCCUGACCUCGUUCCUGUACCGCCUCUCCCUCCCUCCCACUUCCAACAGUGCACUUAGGAAUGAGUUAUGAAGUGUCUUAUUGGAAAGCAAGACUUGAAUAGCAAUGAAGGGCAGACACUAUAGUUAGUUAUUAUUGAUCAUCUCUACCUGCACUUUCUAUAUUUGCAAGCACUUUUCGGGACUUAGUGAGUAAUAAAUAAAGUGUCUCUAGAUCACCUUGCUGCUUCCCACUGCUGCUGCCUCGUGUAUGCCGUUCUAGUUGUGUACCCACUGGAUACACACACUAAGGAGGUGAGACCUUCGAAAGAAAUGCAAAAUAUUUCCACAAUUGUGUUGGUGUACAAACUGACCUGUCAAAACCAAAACUAAAUUUAGCUAGAUUAUAAUCAACACCCCCAGUGGAUGUUAUCGGUUCCUUGUCCAGGGCCCCUUUACCAGGCGGAGGCACUCAUCUCCCAACUUUGAGUAUUGCUCACAGCAGCUGCCUGCUUCCUGAAGAACUGCCCUUGGCAGAGCAGAAGCCACCAUGCUAGGAAGUUAUCCACUCCCUCGGCAUCCCAUAGCCAAUAACUGAUUGCCAUCAGGGCUGUGUUCGUUAUCUGUGUCUCAAAAUAAAUUACUCCAAAACUUA